AGUUGUAUCCUGGCUCAGGAUGAACGCUGGCGAGAUGCUUUACACAUGCAAGUCGUACGCGAGUCUUUGACUCGAGUGGCGGACGGGUGAGUAACACGUAAGAAUUUGCCUUUAGGAGGGGGACAACAACUGGAAACGGUUGCUAAUACCCCAUAUGCUUUCGAGUGAAAUGGAUUUUUUCCGCCUAGAGAGAAGCUUGCGGCUGAUUAGCUUGUUGGUGAGGUAAUGGCUUACCAAGGCGACGAUCAGUAUCUGGUUUGAGAGGACGAUCAGACACACUGGAACUGAGACACGGUCCAGACUCCUACGGGAGGCAGCAGUGGGGAAUUUUCCGCAAUGGGCGCAAGCCUGACGGAGCAAUCUCGCGUGAGGGAUGACUGCCUAUGGGUUGUAAACCUCUUUUUUCAGGGAGGAAUAAAUGACGUGUACCUGAAGAAUAAGCAUCGGCUAACUCCGUGCCAGCAGCCGCGGUAAUACGGAGGAUGCAAGUGUUAUCCGGAAUCACUGGGCGUAAAGCGUCUGUAGGUGGUUUAAUAAGUCAACUGUUAAAUCUUGAGGCUCAACUUCAAAAUCGCAGUCGAAACUAUUAGACUAGAGUAUAGUAGGGGUAAAGGGAAUUUCCAGUGGAGCGGUGAAAUGCGUAGAGAUUAGAAAGAACACCGAUGGCGAAGGCACUUUACUGGGCUAUUACUGACACUCAGAGACGAAAGCUAGGGUAGCAAAUGGGAUUAGAUACCCCAGUAGUCCUAGCUGUAAACAAUGGAUACUAGAUGUUGAACAGAUCGACCUGUGCAGUAUCAAAGCUAACGCGUUAAGUAUCCCGCCNGGGAAGUAUGCUCGCAAGAGUGAAAACUCAAAGGAAUUGACGGGG
RNAcentral lists this ribosomal RNA (871 nucleotides) under uncultured bacterium. RNAcentral describes it as "bacterial SSU rRNA". It matches the Rfam family "Bacterial small subunit ribosomal RNA", at positions 10 to 918 of the family's 1533-position model. The record is from RNAcentral.